UGAGUAACACGUAUGCAAUCCACCUGUAACAGGGGGAUAACCCGGAGAAAUCCGGACUAAUACCCCAUAAUAUAGGCGCUCCGCAUGGAGAGUCCAUUAAAGAGAGCAAUCUUGGUUACAGACGAGCAUGCGCUCCAUUAGCCAGUUGGCGGGGUAACGGCCCACCAAGGCGACGAUGGAUAGGGGUUCUGAGAGGAAGGUCCCCCACAUUGGAACUGAGACACGGUCCAA
RNAcentral lists this ribosomal RNA (231 nucleotides) under uncultured bacterium. RNAcentral describes it as "partial 16S ribosomal RNA". It matches the Rfam family "Bacterial small subunit ribosomal RNA", at positions 107 to 334 of the family's 1533-position model. The record is from RNAcentral.